CUCGAAAGUUUAAGGGUCAACGUGCUAUGCAAAGAAUAGAUAAGAUUCAAGAAAAAAUUAAUAGUCAUGAUUUUUGGGGAAGGAAGGUUUGGUUUCAUUAAGAGAUAUAAGAAAAAACUGCUAAAACUGGAGGUGAACUCUGGAAAGGUGGAUGUAUACUACCAAAGAAAUAUCAACUAUAUGAUAUCUGGUUAUAAAUUCUUAUGAGUACAAAACUGUGAUUAAAAUAUUCCACAUUUUCUACUAAUGAGGCAAAAGUACUGGGAAAAAAGUUUCAUGAGAGAUAGGGGAGUGUUUUGAAGGCUUGUAAGAAAAAAAAAACCUGCUCUCAUUUCCAAGACAAGUCUUGCUAUGAAGUCUCAGGAAUCAGUUUGGCAAUAAGAAGAAAACAUUCAGCUGAAGGAUGUCUAAAU
Molecule: long non-coding RNA, 413 nt
Organism: Corapipo altera (White-ruffed manakin)
Lineage: Eukaryota; Metazoa; Chordata; Aves; Passeriformes; Pipridae
Exons: 3
Source: RefSeq, a predicted model, not a curated record